GUCAGCGGUAAACCAUCAGAGUCUCAGCAUGGAAGUCUCUCACACUUUGAUCUGCUUCUUCUUCCUCUUCUCUCUGCAGGAUGGAAGCACCGGUCUCGUCAGUGCCCAACACUUUGUCUAUUCAGGAACUGAAGGAGAAGAUGUCAGAGUUAAAUGCCCUUUUACUUGCUAACCAAGUCUGACUCAGGACGCUACAGCAGGUGUGGUGCGGGAUCAUCUUUGACACAGGCUUCAUACAAGGAUAUUGAGAUCAUCGUUGUUGAUGGUGAGUUUCUACUAAAAACCUCUCCCUUAAUAAUAGUUUUACCUUUUCACCAUUACCUCAUCUAAAUCCUACAUGUCUUCUGAAAGUAACUGAUAAACCGAAACACGUACACAAGUGUUUUUUAAUAUUAUUGUGUAGAACAUUAUUGAUGAAGAAUUUAAUUCCGUGGGUAGUAGCAUAUUGAUCUGUUGUCUCUGUUCUUAUCUGAAUGAAGUAUAUCAUAUGGCCGCUCUGUGUUCUGUUAACAAGUAAGACAAUUAGUAAUAGAUCGAGAUCAAUAGAAAAUAACAACUGAACUAGUGGUUUCUGGCUGCGGUCGGGGCUUUGAAGGAAUACUUUACCCCCAAAUUACCAUUUUCAGAUCAUCUUGAAGUUGAUAACUUUUUCUAGCGUGACUCCACGGUGAACAAAGAAUCCCAAAAUGGAGAAAAGUCUUAAUGAAUGUUAAAUUAAUUCAGGGCCGUGUUUUACAACAGUAGAAAUAUAUUAAAAACAUCCGUUAACUAACUCGAACACAACUAAUGCUGUUUAGUUGUGUGGUCUCUUAAACAUAAGAUCUCUAGCAUUUUGAAUUGAAUUGAAUCUAAAGCAAUAUUGGUAAAUGAUUUAAUAUCAGAUUAUAAUAUUGAUAUAUGCUGUCUCACUGAAACUUGGUUGAGACAUGAAGAAUAUGUCAGCAUAAAUGAGGCCACUCCACCCAGCCAUAUCAAUACUCAUAUAUUGCCCGAGGCGUGGGCC
Molecule: long non-coding RNA, 1003 nt
Organism: Gymnodraco acuticeps
Lineage: Eukaryota; Metazoa; Chordata; Actinopteri; Perciformes; Bathydraconidae
Exons: 3
Source: RefSeq, a predicted model, not a curated record